This 490-nucleotide ribosomal RNA is filed under the name uncultured bacterium. RNAcentral's name for it is "partial 16S ribosomal RNA". It matches the Rfam family "Bacterial small subunit ribosomal RNA", at positions 30 to 507 of the family's 1533-position model. The record is from RNAcentral.
AUUGAACGCUGGCGGUAGGCCUAACACAUGCAAGUCGAACGGUAACAGGAAACAGCUUGCUGUUUCGCUGACGAGUGGCGGACGGGUGAGUAAUGUCUGGGACACUGCCUGAUGGAGGGGGAUAACUACUGGAAACGGUAGCUAAUACCGCAUAACGUCGCAAGACCAAAGAGGUGGACCUUCGGGCCUCUUGCCAUCGGCUGUGCCCAGAUGGGAUUAGCUAGUAGGUGGGGUAACGGCUCACCUAGGCGACGAUCCCUAGCUGGUGUGAGAGGAUGACCAGCCACACUGGAACUGAGACACGCUCCAGACUCCUACGGGAGGCAGCAGUGGGGAAUAUUGCACAAUGGGCGCAAGCCUGAUGCAGCCAUGCCGCGUGUAUGAAGAAGGCCUUCGGGUUGUAAAGUACUUUCAGCGGGGAGGAAGGGAGUAAAGUUAAUACCUUCGCUCAUUGACGUUCCCCGCAGAAGAAGCACCGGCUAACUCCGUG